UCUCCGUAGGUGAACCUGCGGAGGGAUCAUUACCAGAGAUGGCGGGCCUCCGUGCCCCCGUCCCCAACCCAUUGUUGACCAAAACCUUUUUGCCUCGGGGGCAGAGCGUCCGCCGCCGCCCCCGGAGGACCACGAACGCUGUCUCUAUACGUCGGAGUAUUGAUUAAAUGAAUGAAAACUUUCAACAACGGAUCUCUUGGUUCUG
Molecule: unclassified non-coding RNA, 205 nt
Filed under: plant metagenome
Description: partial contains small subunit ribosomal RNA, internal transcribed spacer 1, and 5.8S ribosomal RNA
Source: RNAcentral